UACGUAGGGUGCAAGCGUUGUCCGGAAUUAUUGGGCGUAAAGGGCGCGUAGGUGGCGGGAUAAGCGUGCGGUGAAAGCUUGGGGCUCAACCCCGAGUCUGCCGUGCGAACUGUUCUGCUUGAGCACUGUAGAGGCAGGCGGAAUUCCGGGUGUAGCGGUGGAAUGCGUAGAGAUCCGGAAGAACACCGGUGGCGAAGGCGGCCUGCUGGGCAGUUGCUGACACUGAGGCGCGACAGCGUGGGGAGCAAACAGG
Molecule: ribosomal RNA, 253 nt
Filed under: uncultured bacterium
Lineage: Bacteria
Description: partial 16S ribosomal RNA
Rfam family: Bacterial small subunit ribosomal RNA
Source: RNAcentral